RNAcentral lists this ribosomal RNA (678 nucleotides) under Triticum aestivum (bread wheat). Its description in RNAcentral is "partial small subunit ribosomal RNA". Lineage: Eukaryota; Viridiplantae; Streptophyta; Magnoliopsida; Poales; Poaceae. The record is from RNAcentral.
AUGGUGAAUUCGAAGGAACCGCCAACCGAGCCCCCCUCGUCAAAUCGCGCGAUCGAAAGCAGCGUCGGGCAGGCGGGGGGCACUGCCGCGGAGGUUGCGACAAUGUCACUGAGUGCCCACCGCGAGACGCUGUCAUCGCUCUCGUCGACACUCAAGACGCCGGGGAGCCAUCGUGUGCUGCGUUAUGCUCCCGUCAACCGUGCUGGUGAAGCCAUCGCCCCGGCCAUGGGCUCCUCCUCGCAAGAUCUCAACAAGGUCAGACAGAGGCUACAACUCGGCCUCGGUGAAGUGAACGCGGCACCGGGUGUCGGUAAACCCAGGGACAACGAGUCCCCUGUGGUCACUGAGGCGGUUUCUCCACAACCAUUGAAGGCGCAGCCCCGCCGCCGCCCUGCUAUGUCAUCCCACACGGACGCGACAGCCGUGAGUGUGCCACCGCAGGCCUCCGAGCGCAAGCGACGGUUGGUCCGCGCAGAUGCGCUCGACAGGCCCCGGUUCUCCGCGACGCUCUUUGCGGAAGAGAUUGAGGAAGACAUCUACGCCCUUACCGGCGCGCUGCCGCGUACCCGCCCUCGCCACCGCCCACCCGCGGUGCAGAAUCAGAUCGAUCUGCUACUUCCCGGCUCACGCUUAUCGGAGAUCAACGCGGAGUCCUACCGGGUGCCAGAUGAUCGCUGA